AAUAUUUACAACUUCUGAUUUUCUUAUUUCUAUUGUUUAUUAUUGAUUUGAAAAGUAUUUGCAACUAUAAUGAUAACCCAAACAGUAUUUUCAAUAGUUAAUAAAUAUAUCGGUAUAAUCAUAAAUUUUAGUAUCAAGCAUAUAAAUUUUUAAAAAUAUAUGUCGGCUUUUAUUUAGUAGUAAUCCAAAAUUGUAGUUUGAUGGUAUAUUUUCAAUAUACGAGGGGGAAUUUUUCUUAAAGAUUUCGGGUUUAGGGUUUGGUGAAUUAGGGCUUAUUGAGUUUUGAUUAUAUAUUUUAGGAUUUCAUAAUUUUGAAUACUGCCAAAAUACAUUAUCUCAGGAUUUAUGUAUAUAUAUUACAUGUCAAUUUGAAAACAUUGAAAUGUUGAAUCCGGUGUGUUAUUAGAGCA
This 410-nucleotide long non-coding RNA is filed under the name Brassica napus (rape). Its description in RNAcentral is "long non-coding RNA (BNAP_LNC003483)". The record is from RNAcentral. Lineage: Eukaryota; Viridiplantae; Streptophyta; Magnoliopsida; Brassicales; Brassicaceae.